UCCUACGGGACGCAGCAGUGGGGAAUAUUGCACAAUGGGGAGAACCCUGAUGCAGCAAUGCCGCGUGGGUGAAGAAGCACUCCGGUGCGUAAAGCCCUGUCAGCAGGGAAGAAAAUGACAGUACCUGGACAAGAAGCCCCGGCUAACUACGUGCCAGCAGCCGCGGUAAUACGUAGGGGGCAAGCGUUAUCCGGAAUUACUGGGUGUAAAGGGAGAGUAGGCGGCAAGGUAAGCGAUAUGUGAAAGCCUUAAGCUUAACUUAAGGAUUGCAUAACG
RNAcentral lists this ribosomal RNA (276 nucleotides) under uncultured bacterium. RNAcentral's name for it is "partial 16S ribosomal RNA". It matches the Rfam family "Bacterial small subunit ribosomal RNA", at positions 337 to 630 of the family's 1533-position model. The record is from RNAcentral.